Rosa rugosa (rugosa rose) is the source of this 1291-nucleotide long non-coding RNA. RefSeq lists it as uncharacterized. The transcript has 8 exons. NCBI's taxonomy places the organism in Eukaryota, Viridiplantae, Streptophyta, Magnoliopsida, Rosales, Rosaceae. The record is from RefSeq and is a predicted model, not a curated record.
UUCAAUUACAAUUUGCCAUUCUUCUAUAACGUUCUUAUCUCCUGCCACCUGUAGGUUCUACACUAUCAACACAGACAGAGGGCCUCAUCUUUUGGGUUUUGGUUAUUUGCUCGACCCAGAGAGAGAUGGAGUGAAGUAAAUAGGAAGAAAGGAGAGAAGACGAGGCCAUCCCUUCAAAAUGUCCAUCGCUAGGGUGGAGUUUGCCAUUGGAGGCUUAAUCGUGGACACCAAGGUGUUCUAUUGGCCAAGAAAGGUCUUUUGCUAUGGAUUUCCGUGUGCUUAGCUUUGCUGAUUGAAGAAGAUGAAUGGGAAAAUGAGCUCUUCUUCAACUUCAGAAGAAAGUGAAAGAUAAGAUUGAAAAGAAGAGGGGGGCUUACCAAAAUUAGGGGUUUAAGACAAAGCAAGCAAGCAAGCACCCUGAUCACACUGACUGGGGAUCUCACUCAUUGAUAUGGCCAUUACCUAAGGUCUCCAUUGUUUUCACCUGUCAUGAGUCAGUAGCUGACCCUGCAGCACUCAAAUCAAAUUGCCUAAUUGUACAGCUGAUUCUCCUGCAAAGAUGCAUUCUUAUGCUUAAAACGGUUGCUACCUUGAGGAGAGAUGCAGCUGCUCAGGAGCUGAUGUGUGCCUGGAAUGCUGGCCGCUUAUGACAAUUGCUAUUAAAGUGAUUGACACUGCCUUUUGAGAUGACUUUGGUUUCAAUGACAUUCUUUGGGUAUACAGUGGCCGACAUGGUGUUCACUAUUGGGUUUGUGAUGAGAAAGCUGGAAGGUAAAUCACUCGGUAGUACUUUUGGUCUCUAAGAUAUGUCAUGACACUUAAGAGCAGCUAUUACUGACAUUUUCGUGUCUAAAAGGUGGUAUUGUACUUCAAACUCUUUUGGGUUAAAAGACAUCUGAUAUGUUAUCCGAUUUUGUAAAAGUCGUUAACGAUUAGCCCUGCUCUUUAUCAAUUCCUUUAGAGUUGUGAGAAUCUGUAUUCAAUAUUUGCAAUAUGACUUGCUUAUGAUUCAGCUUGCAUUAGCUUAGAUUUUUGGGGUAGACCAAGAUGUUGCAUUGAAACUACUGGGAUAUGAAAGAUCAUUCGAACCUCUCGAAGAUAAGGCUCUUACACAGUCAUUAAUUCCUACAUCGAAAAAAUUGAUGCUGAUGUUGUGAAAUUAAGUAAAAGAAAGAAGUACUACACAUAAAACGACUACAUGCUCUGAUUGAGAAAUUGAAUAUGUAGAGGAAGCCAAGACUGUAACUUUCUUUCUAUUUAUUGCAGGAACACAGUGUAGAGAGUUAGAGAA